GACUAACGCUGGCGGCGUGCUUAACACAUGCAAGUCGAACGGAAAGGCCCUGCUUUUGUGGGGUGCUCGAGUGGCGAACGGGUGAGUAACACGUGAGUAACCUGCCCUUGACUUUGGGAUAACUUCAGGAAACUGGGGCUAAUACCGGAUAGGAGCUCCUGCUGCAUGGUGGGGGUUGGAAAGUUUCGGCGGUUGGGGAUGGACUCGCGGCUUAUCAGCUUGUUGGUGGGGUAGUGGCUUACCAAGGCUUUGACGGGUAGCCGGCCUGAGAGGGUGACCGGCCACAUUGGGACUGAGAUACGGCCCAGACUCCUACGGGAGGCAGCAGUGGGGAAUAUUGCACAAUGGGCGGAAGCCUGAUGCAGCAACGCCGCGUGCGGGAUGACGGCCUUCGGGUUGUAAACCGCUUUCGCCUGUGACGAAGCGUGAGUGACGGUAAUGGGUAAAGAAGCACCGGCUAACUACGUG
This 468-nucleotide ribosomal RNA is filed under the name uncultured bacterium. RNAcentral's name for it is "partial 16S ribosomal RNA". It matches the Rfam family "Bacterial small subunit ribosomal RNA", at positions 28 to 507 of the family's 1533-position model. The record is from RNAcentral.